Molecule: ribosomal RNA, 253 nt
Filed under: uncultured prokaryote
Description: partial 16S ribosomal RNA
Rfam family: Bacterial small subunit ribosomal RNA
Source: RNAcentral
UACGAGGGGGGCGAGCGUUGUUCGGAAUUAUUGGGCGUAAAGGGCGCGUAGGCGGUGCGGUAAGUCACCUGUGAAACCUCUGGGCUUAACUCAGAGCCUGCAGGCGAAACUGCCGUGCUGGAGUGUGGGAGAGGUGCGUGGAAUUCCCGGUGUAGCGGUGAAAUGCGUAGAUAUUGGGAGGAACACCAGUGGCGAAGGCGGCUCACUGGACCGGUACUGACGCUGAUGCGCGAAAGCGUGGGGAGCAAACAGG